UUCCUUGUAGCGUAAUGAAUAGCGCUUUGGACCUCUAUUCCAAAGGUCGUGGGCUCGAGUCCCACCUGGGAUG
Non-coding RNA from Trichonephila clavipes, 73 nucleotides. The record is from the annotation of a GenBank genome assembly. NCBI's taxonomy places the organism in Eukaryota, Metazoa, Arthropoda, Arachnida, Araneae, Nephilidae.